Gorilla gorilla gorilla (western lowland gorilla) is the source of this 224-nucleotide long non-coding RNA. RefSeq lists it as uncharacterized. The transcript is spliced from 3 exons. NCBI's taxonomy places the organism in Eukaryota, Metazoa, Chordata, Mammalia, Primates, Hominidae. The record is from RefSeq and is a predicted model, not a curated record.
CUACAAAGGCAGUACCUGUGGAGUUUCUAUUUAGGAAUCGCUGGGCUUCUCCUACUCUAAAUUAUAUGAACCAAGAUUUUGACUUGCAUCCUGUUUCAUCUGAUGGAUGAUUUCACCUCACUCUUCCAUUUCUGAAGCCUGUGGGAUUUUCUAAAAUUUAGGGCAAACAAUCAGUCAAAGAAAGAGAAAGCAUUCCACCAAAGGAGAAAACACCAAGGAUCCAC